This 138-nucleotide non-coding RNA is filed under the name Streptomyces albus. The record is from RNAcentral. Lineage: Bacteria; Bacillati; Actinomycetota; Actinomycetes; Kitasatosporales; Streptomycetaceae.
AGAGGAAGCCGGUGCGAGUCCGGCGCGGUCCCGCCACUGUCACCGGGGAGCGCUCCGCCAGUUCGACACGGCCACGGCCCAUCACCACGAUGGGCGGGAAGGCCCGGGGGAAGCGCCGAUCCGGGAGCCAGGAGACUC